Molecule: ribosomal RNA, 817 nt
Filed under: Salmonella enterica subsp. enterica serovar Eastbourne
Lineage: Bacteria; Pseudomonadati; Pseudomonadota; Gammaproteobacteria; Enterobacterales; Enterobacteriaceae
Description: partial 23S ribosomal RNA
Rfam family: Bacterial large subunit ribosomal RNA
Source: RNAcentral
UAAUUGGGCGUUAAGUUGCAGGGUAUAGACCCGAAACCCGGUGAUCUAGCCAUGGGCAGGUUGAAGGUUGGGUAACACUAACUGGAGGACCGAACCGACUAAUGUUGAAAAAUUAGCGGAUGACCUGUGGCUGGGGGUGAAAGGCCAAUCAAACCGGGAGAUAGCUGGUUCUCCCCGAAAGCUAUUUAGGUAGCGCCUCGUGAAUUCAUCUCCGGGGGUAGAGCACUGUUUCGGCUAGGGGGCCAUCCCGGCUUACCAACCCGAUGCAAACUGCGAAUACCGGAGAAUGUUAUCACGGGAGACACACGGCGGGUGCUAACGUCCGUCGUGAAGAGGGAAACAACCCAGACCGCCAGCUAAGGUCCCAAAGUCAUGGUUAAGUGGGAAACGAUGUGGGAAGGCCCAGACAGCCAGGAUGUUGGCUUAGAAGCAGCCAUCAUUUAAAGAAAGCGUAAUAGCUCACUGGUCGAGUCGGCCUGCGCGGAAGAUGUAACGGGGCUAAACCAUGCACCGAAGCUGCGGCAGCGACGCUGAUGCGUUGUUGGGUAGGGGAGCGUUCUGUAAGCCUGCGAAGGUGGCCUGUGAGGGUUGCUGGAGGUAUCAGAAGUGCGAAUGCUGACAUAAGUAACGAUAAAGCGGGUGAAAAGCCCGCUCGCCGGAAGACCAAGGGUUCCUGUCCAACGUUAAUCGGGGCAGGGUGAGUCGACCCCUAAGGCGAGGCCGAAAGGCGUAGUCGAUGGGAAACGGGUUAAUAUUCCCGUACUUGGUGUUACUGCGAAGGGGGGACGGAGAAGGCUAUGUUGGCCGGGCGACGGUU